Molecule: ribosomal RNA, 384 nt
Filed under: uncultured bacterium
Lineage: Bacteria
Description: bacterial SSU rRNA
Rfam family: Bacterial small subunit ribosomal RNA
Source: RNAcentral
GACGAACGCUGGCGGCGUGCCUAAUACAUGCAAGUCGAACGAACGGAUAAAGAGCUUGCUCUUUUGAAGUUAGUGGCGGACGGGUGAGUAACACGUGGGUAACCUGCCUCACAGCUGGGGAUAACAUCGAGAAAUCGAUGCUAAUACCGAAUGUGCUGAACAUCAUAAGAUGUUCAAGUGAAAGACGGUUUCGGCUGUCACUGUGAGAUGGACCCGCGCUGGAUUGGCUAGUUGGUAAGGUAAUGGCUUACCAAGGCGACGAUCCAUAGCCGACCUGAGAGGGUGAUCGGCCACAUUGGGACUGAGACACGGCCCAAACUCCUAACGGGAGACCAGCAGUAGGGAAUCUUCGGCAAUGGACGAAAGUCUGACCGAGCAACGCCG